UGAUAAAAAAAGGCCGAGUUGACUCCUCUACUCGGCCUAGGGAAAAUGGCUCUUAAGAGCCGUGCGCUAAAAGUGUCAUUGAGACGAAAAACAACUUACAAUUUAAAGAAUAGCUGACAUACUUGCCUUUUACCAACUU
This 139-nucleotide small RNA is filed under the name Photorhabdus laumondii subsp. laumondii TTO1. The record is from RNAcentral. Lineage: Bacteria; Pseudomonadati; Pseudomonadota; Gammaproteobacteria; Enterobacterales; Morganellaceae.